UACGUAGGGGGCAAGCGUUGUCCGGAAUCAUUGGGCGUAAAGCGCGUGUAGGCGGCUAGGUAAGUCUGCUCUGAAAGCCCGGGGCUCAACCCCGGGAGGCGGGUGGAUACUGUCUAGCUCGAGUCCGGAAGAGGAGUGUGGAAUUCCUGGUGUAGCGGUGAAAUGCGCAGAUAUCAGGAAGAACACCAAUGGCGAAAGCAGCUCUCUGGGACGGUACUGACGCUGAGACGCGAAAGCGUGGGGAGCGAACAGG
This 253-nucleotide ribosomal RNA is filed under the name uncultured bacterium. Its description in RNAcentral is "partial 16S ribosomal RNA". It matches the Rfam family "Bacterial small subunit ribosomal RNA", at positions 524 to 776 of the family's 1533-position model. The record is from RNAcentral.